CCUCCUGCCCUCACCUCAGGUGUGUGCAUGUGGAUAUUUGAGCGCGCUGUGUCCUCAUUGUUGCUGUAAUUUAUCAGUAUUUUACAGACAGAUGGACACAAAGACUGUCAGGAUGCAGAAAGCAGUGAUUCUGGUUUCUGUGCUGGUCCAAGGGUGGACCUGGACUCUGCAGGGGUUACUUGUGCAGGAGAACGUUGAUGUGGAUCAGAGUUAUGUGAGGAAAGAGUCAGACUUCAUUUCUCCAGCCAAGAAGAGGAAGAAGAGGAAGAAGAUGUGGUAGAGGAAAGGAGUGACGAAGAAGAGCGGAGAUGGGGAUGGAAUGCAGAACAAGCCAAGAGGUACACACAAGGUAUGGUAUUAAAUAACGAAACUAAUGCUGUAAUACAAUUUUA
Lates calcarifer (barramundi perch) is the source of this 392-nucleotide long non-coding RNA. RefSeq lists it as uncharacterized. Lineage: Eukaryota; Metazoa; Chordata; Actinopteri; Centropomidae. The record is from RefSeq and is a predicted model, not a curated record. The transcript has 3 exons.